Long non-coding RNA from Gossypium raimondii (Peruvian cotton), 2356 nucleotides. RefSeq lists it as uncharacterized. The record is from RefSeq and is a predicted model, not a curated record. Lineage: Eukaryota; Viridiplantae; Streptophyta; Magnoliopsida; Malvales; Malvaceae. The transcript is spliced from 5 exons.
AUUUGAAGUGCGCCCACUUAUCAUCCUAAACCCUAACCCCGCCAGUAUUUCUCCUUCGACUCUACCCUUUUAUCAAAACAGAGCACCACUUUUUACCCUUUCUUCUUAUAACUCAAAACACCAAACCCCCCUUUGCAACUGCUCACUUUCGCCAGAGAAAAAAUGGACCAGUACCAGAAAGUGGAGAAGUCGAAGGCUGAGACGCCAAGAAACGAGAAAAAGCUGAGGAUUAUAGUUCAGGGGAGAAUGAGGAAUUACAUUUCUUAAUUUGGAAUUGUGAUUUUUUUUCACUGUUUUCAUAUGCUAAAUCAGAACUCAGAGUAAUAUGAGUAUUAUUGUGCUUUUAUUUUUGUUUUUCUUUCUUCGUUGACUGGAGACUGAGAGCGAAGACUACAACAGUAGCUGAGUUUUGCUUUUUUAAUUUUUUUGUGUGAUUAUUGUAAUUAUUAUUUUUAAUUUUUUUUCCGGUCGCAGCUCUCUUUGAAGUUUAUUGACACUGAGCAAUUUUAAAUGCUCCGUGAGCUGAAACAACUUGCAAAUAAGACAUAGAGAUUUGAAAUUAGAAAAUACCCUUUUAGAUGGAAGUCCUGCAUCUCGUUUGAAAAUCUGUGAUUUCGGUUACUUUAAGUCAUCUCUGUUGCAUUCAAGACCCAAAUCAACAGUUGGAACUCCAGCAUAUAUAGCAUUGGAAGUUCUGGCGCGGCGAGAGUAUGAUGGAAAUGUAUUAUUUCAACUGUAUAAAAAAUAAAAGAAGUAAUAUCUGUGUGAAAUAAAAAAAUCUAGCUGAGCAUUCUAUUGAUCAGGUGUGCUAUUUUUGCCUUUGAAGCCUAACAUGUGAUCACAAAUAUCUAAUCCAAAGAUUUUGAAAUGCAUGAUAGUAUCUAUUCUUCCACUUCUUGGAUUUUCUCAUUUUUUAUUCGAUUUUUUACUUUAAAAAUAUAAGAGAUGUGAUGAAAUGCAUUUUGUAGUUGUCCUUGUUUAUGAAAAUUUGUAAUGCCUUAUACAUGUUGCAAGGGAUCAAGUUAAUUCUCACAUGCUUGUUAUAGUCGAGUACCUUUUUCAUUCUCUUCUUAAUUUGACAUUCAUCUCUUAAUAUGUUAAUAGAGAGAAAUUUUGAGCAUUAACCAAACUAUAUCAUGCUUUUCUGCAAUUUAAAGUUUUUCUUAGCGGCUGCGUUUUAUUAGGUGAUGAUAUAUUAGAAACUUAUAGUAGCCAAAGCUAAAAUUAGCAGACCUUGUUUGGAAACUGAUUCAGCCCAUAAAUGGUGAUUGUAAACUGUGUGAAGUUCCAAAUUACUAAUUAGUAAUUGGCCUUUGUAUGUGAAAUAACUGUCCUUUCGGAUCUGCACUUUAUUGUAUGUUCUGCACAAGGUGGGAUUGUUGUGUUGGUUGUUACUAGGGGUAAUGAGUUUUGGCAUAUGGAUAUAAAGAUCUGUGUGUUUGUGUUCUUCAGCAAUGAGAUACAGCUUAAUUGGUAUAUGAAGAGUUUCCACAAGAAAUGCUUAAAGCAAUAUUGCUUCCAUUUUUGUCAUUACAUAUUAAGCCUUUUCCACAAAAAAAUGAUGGCCUUUUUAUCAUUACAUAUUAAGCCUUUUCUACAUCUGACAUGAUGGCACAUGUAGGGUGAUUGAAAAUGAGUAUUUAGGUCUGAUAAAUGGCAUACUGGAUCAAUCAGCCAUACUGCUUUCAAGCCAUGGUUGUCUAACUUACAUGAACUGCAAAGUAGUCAAACUUUUUGUAGUAAUUUUAGGAAUAACAUAUCCUUCUUUGUUUUGAAGUGUUCGAUCUAUUUUUGUUAGCUUGGCACUGCUUAUGCUUCAUUUAGUCUUCAUACAACUGCUAUAAUUUGGUUAUCAGCCAGAUUUAUGAUUGUUUUCUAUUUUUAUUGAUUUAUGUAAUCAAUCUCAAUUUUGCUUUUGAAAAUUAAUACUAUUGUUCCUUGUUAAAAAUUGAAUAGUUUAGACAAUCAUUAGAAAGAAUGCCUAUUUGUGACACAUGGAAGAGCUAUGAUUGAGAUUGUUUGUUAGUAUAAGUUGCACAUAAUUGUUUGUUAUAUUUUUUUUUGAGCCUUAAUGGCUAUAUAUAUAUAUUAUUUUUAACAUCUCUGUUGUUUACCAAGUUUGUUGGUUUAUCUGAUCAUUUGGUUUUGCAUCCUUUAGAUAUUGGAGGUGUAGUAGAGGAUUCAAUCUCUUCAAGCUGGAAAAGCCAAGGCUUAGCACUUCUUCAAGUGGAGUGUUAUUUAAUAUUACAUUCUAUGGUCGUUUAUCUUAGUCGGAACUUGAAUUUUUGUAGAUACCUUGUGUACUAGCUUCUUUAACCAUGAUUGUUAAUUAUUACGUGUUUUGUAGCUUCUUUUA